Callorhinus ursinus (northern fur seal) is the source of this 99-nucleotide non-coding RNA. Lineage: Eukaryota; Metazoa; Chordata; Mammalia; Carnivora; Otariidae. The record is from RefSeq and is a predicted model, not a curated record.
AAACAAUAUGUGUGGCAGCAAGGGAAGCUGGUGUUUACAAUUAAUUGAUCACAGCCAGUUACAGAUUUCUUUAUUCCUUCUCCACUCCCACUGCUUCAC